RNAcentral lists this ribosomal RNA (354 nucleotides) under uncultured bacterium. RNAcentral's name for it is "bacterial SSU rRNA". It matches the Rfam family "Bacterial small subunit ribosomal RNA", at positions 1028 to 1381 of the family's 1533-position model. The record is from RNAcentral.
CGGGAGACAGGUGGUGCAUGGUUGUCGUCAGCUCGUGUCGUGAGAUGUUGGGUUAAGUCCCGCAACGAGCGCAACCCUCAUCUGCAGUAGCCAGCAUUUNGGAUGGGCACUCUGCAGAGACCGCCGGGGAUAACCCGGAGGAGGAUGGGGAUGACGUCAAAUCAUCAUGCCCCUUAUGGUCUGGGCUACACACGUGCUACAAUGGCGCCGACAAAGGGAAGCGAGAGGGUGAGCUUAAGCAAAACACAAAAACAGCGUCUCAGUUCGGAUUGUAGUCUGCAACCCGACUACAUGAAGCCGGAAUCGCUAGUAAUCGCAGAUCAUCAUGCUGCGGUGAAUACGUUCCCGGGUCUG